AGUAAGACAGGUGGCCGCAGCUGUGAUACCGAAAGGUUGCAGAUGAGGAAAGUCCGGGCUUCACAGGGCAGGAUGCCAGAUAACGUCUGGCGGAGGCGACUCCAGGGAUAGUGCAACAGAAAUAUACCGCAUGGAAACAUGUAAGGGUGGAAGGGCAGUGUAAGAGACUACCGCCUGGCUGGUAACAGCCGGGGCAUAUGUAAACCCCAUCCGAAGCAAGACCGAACAGGAAACAUAAGGCGGCCCGUCUGUUUCCGGGUAGGUCGCUUGAGUCUGCCGGCGACGGCAGACCUAGAUAGAUGGCCAUCCAACGACAUAACCCGGCUUAUCGUCUUGCUCA
Molecule: RNase P RNA, 340 nt
Filed under: human gut metagenome
Description: Bacterial RNase P class A
Rfam family: Bacterial RNase P class A
About the family: Ribonuclease P (RNase P) is a ubiquitous endoribonuclease, found in archaea, bacteria and eukarya as well as chloroplasts and mitochondria. Its best characterised activity is the generation of mature 5'-ends of tRNAs by cleaving the 5'-leader elements of precursor-tRNAs.
Source: RNAcentral